RNA transcript from Triticum dicoccoides, 1602 nucleotides. It is a transcript of the gene named ubiquinol oxidase 1b, mitochondrial-like, with no coding region annotated. NCBI's taxonomy places the organism in Eukaryota, Viridiplantae, Streptophyta, Magnoliopsida, Poales, Poaceae. The transcript has 3 exons. The record is from RefSeq and is a predicted model, not a curated record.
CUCCCUAUAAAACCAUCUCCGGCAAGACGUCGGCAAGCCAUCCAUCGAUCAACACCAACAGAAAUCACUUCCCACCCCGCCAACAAAAACAGACUUCCCAUUCGAUCCGCCACAAGAAAAUACUCCCAAGCUUUCGGUCGCUUUAGUUGUUCAACAGCCAACACCAUGAGCUCUCGGAUGGCCGGAGCCACGCUGCUGCGCCACCUGGGCCCCCGCCUCUUUGCCGCCGCCGAGCCGGCCUCCGGGCUCGCCGCCAGCGCGAGGGGCAUCAUGCCCGCCGCCGCGAGGAUCUUCCCCGCGCGGAUGGCCAGCACCGAGGCCGCCGCCCCGCAUGCCAAACAAGAAGAUGAUGCCGGAACACCCCAGGCGGCCGCGACUCCAGAGCAGCAGAGCAAGAAGGCCGUGGUGAGCUACUGGGGCAUCGAGCCGCGGAAGCUCGUCAAGGAGGACGGCACGGAGUGGCCGUGGUUCUGCUUCAGGCCGUGGGACACGUACCGGCCGGACACGUCCAUCGACGUCACCAAGCACCACGAGCCCAAGGCCCUGGCGGACAAGGUGGCCUACUUCGUGGUUCGGUCGCUGCGUGUGCCGCGGGACCUCUUCUUCCAGCGCCGGCACGCCAGCCACGCGCUGCUGCUGGAGACUGUGGCGGCGGUGCCGCCCAUGGUGGGCGGCGUGCUGCUCCACCUGCGCUCGCUCCGCCGAUUCGAGCACAGCGGCGGCUGGAUCCGGGCGCUCAUGGAGGAGGCCGAGAACGAGCGCAUGCACCUCAUGACCUUCAUGGAGGUGACGCAGCCGCGCUGGUGGGAGCGCGCGCUCGUGCUCGCCGCGCAGGGCGUCUUCUUCAACGCCUACUUCGUCGGCUACCUCAUCUCCCCCAAGUUCGCGCACCGCUUCGUCGGCUACCUCGAGGAGGAGGCCGUGGAGUCUUACACUGAGUACCUCAAGGACCUCGAAGCCGGCUUGAUCGAGAACACGCCCGCGCCGGCCAUCGCCAUCGACUACUGGCGCCUCCCCGCCGACGCCAGGCUCAAAGACGUCGUCACCGCCGUGCGCGCCGACGAGGCGCAUCACCGCGACGCCAACCACUACGCAUCGGACAUCCAUUACCAGGGAAUGACGCUGAAUCAGACGCCUGCGCCGCUCGGGUACCACUGAUCAGCUCAAUGGACCAUAGAUCGAUGCCUGCUCAGCCCAUCGUUGGGGUCUGAUUGGUCCUGUGAUCUGAACAAACACGGAAACGAGCGAUUUGGUUUCCGCGUUCAUCUCUGCCUACAUGUGAACAUGGGCCAGGCCUUUUUCUUUUUUCCUUCUAUGUACGCGUACACGAGGCUGGGUUUCUAAGAAAAAUAUGAUGGCGUAGAUCCUGGUAAUUAUUGCUAGUGAUUGAUAUGAUUAAAAUAGGCACAGGUUGGAGCGAGAUCGUGGUAAUUAUUGUGUAACUAUGAUGGCGUAGAUCAUGGUAAUUAUUGCUAAUUGAUAAUGGUAAAUGAUGUGAUACAACAUUGAGGCAAUCCGGUCCAUUGAGAGAUGACGGAUGUAUGGCUGAGAUGUAAUAUUUCUGCUACAACUCAAUUGUUUAAUAGUAGUGGAGAAAAAUAU